Molecule: long non-coding RNA, 707 nt
Filed under: Strigops habroptila (Kakapo)
Lineage: Eukaryota; Metazoa; Chordata; Aves; Psittaciformes; Psittacidae
Description: lncRNA (ENSSHBG00005006575.1)
Source: RNAcentral
GUAUGCAAGGGCUUUACUGGGGGCUUGAUAUGAGACAAUCCUGCUGGGGCAUAAAGCCAUAACCCCUCUGGGGGCAGCUUUCCCACCUCCAGGACUCAACACAUCAACCCUCAGCACGUGAGGCUUUCUGCUGAGGGUUUCAUCCUGUCCCACGCAGGUAGGAUAUCGCUGCCCAACGCCAGGCGUCAGCUAAAUCUCAGGGCACUGAGAGGGAGCACAAAGAACAUCUGACCGUCUGGGAAUGCUGGGCUGCAGGGGAAGCUCCUCGUAUCGGUGGCUGAGGAGCACAAGCUCAGGGUCAGCACCAGGCAGAUGCUUCAUCUCUAGGUUAUGGCUGGAGGGGAAUGUCCUGGGUGACGAACGCCUUCACCUGCGGACACAGCGGGCGGCCCGCCCCGGCUCAGCGGAGGAGCGGCCCCAGACCCCGGCCCCAUCCCGCACCCGGCGGCACUUACCUCCCUCAGGCGGUUCAGCCGUCACCCGCCGCAGGUCUGCGGGACGAGACACCCCGUCACCGCCGCCGGCGUCCCGCGGUGUUCCCGCACCCUCCGCCCAGCCCCGUGCUCACCUCCACCUUGCCCCGGGCCAGGUCCCGCAGCUCAGCCCCGCGGUGCCGGGGGGGUCCUGGGCCGAGCCCUGCCGCCAGCACCGACACCAGCAGCAGCAGCGGCAGCGCCCGCAGCAUCCCGCAACGCCACGUCACGGCC